This 75-nucleotide transfer RNA is filed under the name Rubrivivax sp. RNAcentral describes it as "tRNA-Arg". It matches the Rfam family "tRNA". From Rfam's summary of the family: Transfer RNA (tRNA) molecules are approximately 80 nucleotides in length. Lineage: Bacteria; Pseudomonadati; Pseudomonadota; Betaproteobacteria; Burkholderiales; Sphaerotilaceae. RNAcentral also lists the same sequence under 1 other name. The record is from RNAcentral.
CUCUCCGUAGCACAAGGGAUAGUGCAGCCGCCUCCUAAGCGGCAGAUCCGCGUUCGAGUCGCGGCGGAGGAACCA